RNAcentral lists this ribosomal RNA (545 nucleotides) under uncultured bacterium. RNAcentral describes it as "partial 16S ribosomal RNA". It matches the Rfam family "Bacterial small subunit ribosomal RNA", at positions 355 to 891 of the family's 1533-position model. The record is from RNAcentral.
UGGGGAAUAUUGGACAAUGGGGGAACCCUGAUCCAGCCAUGCCGCGUGUGUGAAGAAGGCCUUUUGGUUGUAAAGCACUUUAAGUGGGGAGGAGGCUCUCUUGGUUAAUACCUAAGAAGAGUGGACGUUACCCACAGAAUAAGCACCGGCUAACUCUGUGCCAGCAGCCGCGGUAAUACAGAGGGUGCGAGCGUUAAUCGGAUUUACUGGGCGUAAAGCGCGCGUAGGUGGUUAAUUAAGUCAAAUGUGAAAUCCCCGAGCUUAACUUGGGAAUUGCAUUCGAUACUGGUUAGCUAGAGUAUGGGAGAGGAUGGUAGAAUUCCAGGUGUAGCGGUGAAAUGCGUAGAGAUCUGGAGGAAUACCGAUGGCGAAGGCAGCCAUCUGGCCUAAUACUGACACUGAGGUGCGAAAGCAUGGGGAGCAAACAGGAUUAGAUACCCUGGUAGUCCAUGCCGUAAACGACGUCUACUAGCCGUUGGGGGAUUUGAUCCUUUAGUGGCGCAGCUAACGCGAUAAGGUAGACCGCCUGGGGAGUACGGUCGCAA